Long non-coding RNA from Helianthus annuus (common sunflower), 471 nucleotides. RefSeq lists it as uncharacterized. Lineage: Eukaryota; Viridiplantae; Streptophyta; Magnoliopsida; Asterales; Asteraceae. The record is from RefSeq and is a predicted model, not a curated record. The transcript has 3 exons.
CUCUGCAACACACAACCCAUCACCAUCCCUGUUCUCUUUGUCAUCUUCCCCUAACCCUAAAAUGUGGGAUACUACUGGUCGGAAGCGGUUUUGAACUAUCACAAGCAGUUACUAGAGAGGAGCACAUGGAAUAAUUUGACUGAGAUGGAGAGCUUUAACAAUGCGAAGCAAUGGCUAAGUGAAAUCGACAGAUAUGCAAGCUUCUUGUUGGAGAAUAUGGAAGGAGUGAAUGGUUCAAUUGGGGUUUUGAAGAGGAUGAAAUCUGCCAUUAGGGGUUAUACACAAUGAAAUGACCAAUCUGCCUUUCAAACUAUAAGUAAAAAGACAUCCCUGACCGGGUCAGUUAACAGUCGACUAACAGCAAAUGCUCUGAUGGACUUGAUUGAUUGCAACUGACAACCACAGGGACCUGGAAUGACUGUUUUUUUUUUUUUCAAAUAAGAUCUCUAUGUAAGAAUGGAUGUAAACCAC